UCUUCUAAUGGGUUAUCGGGAGGCCCGGCCCGGCCCGGCCCGGCCCUGGAUCGAGUCGGAAGAUCGAGGCCCGUGUGCUCCCCCGAAUUCAAUGUUGGGGGUUUGGAUACGUGUAAUAAAAUAUUCUUCUCCAAGGAGAUGUUAAAUCGAGCUAAGGCGGCGCACGCGCUGGCCGCACGAGUCGUUCUCCGCCUCCUCCCGCCUCUUCCUCGCCAUCAAGAUCGUCGCCCCCGCUUCCCUGAGGUAAUUUGCUCGCCUAGCCUUACCGCUGUCUGCAUGCUGCACGGUGCCUAACUAAUAUCUGAGAGGCUGGUGUUUACGGACUUGUUCAUCGUCUUUUUCAAGAGAAAGUGAUCCAUCAAAAUAUUCAUGGUCCUCCUGUGUGGCGCCGCCAAAUCCUAUGCAAGUAUGUUUUAUGUGAUCUCUUUCUUGUUAUGUGACUGUAUAAUCUUGCAGUUGAUCGGCACCAAAUCCUAUGCAAGAGUUCUCUAGUUGUAGCGUCAUGGUUGAUGCUUGUUGUUGUAUAUGACAUUUGAGCUCACACGGAGGACCAGAAGUACGUCGAAACUUCUCAUGGAAUCGUGUUGAUAAUAGGAGACAUUAAAGUUUGAGAUGUUCUGGCGUUUCUACUCUCACUCCACUGGUACGGUGGUGCAUACAAAUGUGGAACCGAGUUCACAGAAAAGUCUAAUUAGGCUCCUGGUCUCCUUAGCGAUCAAAAUUCGAUGUAUCUGUCAUCCUCAAAUGUGAUCGGGGCACGUUGGGCAUGAACUCCGAUUUAUGUCUUCUAAUUGUGGUGGACACUGUCCCAUGCAUCGUAGAGCCCGCUUGACAUCUAAAAACUCUCUACCAAGAAGAGCAGCAGCAGCAGCCGAACGGUAGAACGGUAGGUAGGUGCAAGGGAGCAUGUUUUGUAAACUGAUACUCUUGUUGUUGUUUAUGUAAAAUUGAAAUAGCCAAAGGCAAUUUGGCUGCUUUGGCUGUGUGUUAUUACAGCCUCAUUUGACGUUCCGAGAAAUGUAGAAAGAUAAUAAUUUGGUCGAUUCCAAAUACUUUGAACUUUAUGAUUUUG
This is a long non-coding RNA of Musa acuminata AAA Group (dessert banana), 1072 nucleotides long. RefSeq lists it as uncharacterized. The transcript is spliced from 3 exons. NCBI's taxonomy places the organism in Eukaryota, Viridiplantae, Streptophyta, Magnoliopsida, Zingiberales, Musaceae. The record is from RefSeq and is a predicted model, not a curated record.